GGGCUGGUAAUUUAAUAGGCAAAAGCUCUCCUUGUCAAGGAAAGAAAUAUCGGAUCGAAACCGAUUCAGCUCG
RNAcentral lists this transfer RNA (73 nucleotides) under Arthonia quintaria. Its description in RNAcentral is "tRNA-Asp". Lineage: Eukaryota; Fungi; Ascomycota; Arthoniomycetes; Arthoniales; Arthoniaceae. The record is from RNAcentral.